This 399-nucleotide ribosomal RNA is filed under the name uncultured bacterium. RNAcentral's name for it is "bacterial SSU rRNA". It matches the Rfam family "Bacterial small subunit ribosomal RNA", at positions 509 to 905 of the family's 1533-position model. The record is from RNAcentral.
CAGCAGCCGCGGUAAUACGUAGGUACCGAGCGUUAUCCGGAUUUACUGGGCGUAAAGCGCGUUCAGGCGGCAUAGCAAGUCGGGCAUGAAAUCUCUCGGCUCAACCGGGAGAGGCUGUCCGAUACUGCUGGGCUUGAGGGCAGUAGAGGGUGGUGGAAUUCCUGGUGUAGCGGUGGAAUGCGCAGAUAUCAGGAGGAACACCGAUGGCGAAGGCAGAUCUCUGGGCCGUAACUGACGCUGAGGAGCGAAAGGGUGGGGAGCAAACAGGCUUAGAUACCCUGGUAGUCCACCCCGUAAACGUUGGGAACUAGUUGUGGGGUCCUUUCCACGGAUUCCGUGACGCAGCUAACGCAUUAAGUUCCCCGCCUGGGGAGUACGGCCGCAAGGCUAAAACUCAAA